RNAcentral lists this ribosomal RNA (513 nucleotides) under Lancetes waterhousei. RNAcentral describes it as "partial 16S ribosomal RNA". It matches the Rfam family "Bacterial large subunit ribosomal RNA", at positions 1819 to 2600 of the family's 2925-position model. Lineage: Eukaryota; Metazoa; Arthropoda; Insecta; Coleoptera; Dytiscidae. The record is from RNAcentral.
GUCCUUUUGAAUUUAAUAUAAGGUUUGACCUGCCCACUGAAAUUUUGAAUGGCCGCAGUAAUUUGACUGUGCAAAGGUAGCAUAAUCAUUAGUUUUUUAAUUAAAAGCUUGUAUGAAGGGUUGGACGAAGUAAAAGCUGUCUCUAUUUAAUUUAAAAUAGAAUUUAAUUUUUAAGUUAAAAAGCUUAAAUAUUUUUAAAAGACGAGAAGACCCUAUAGAUCUUUAUAUUAUUUUUUUUUAAUUUUAAUUAAGAAUAUUUUAUUUAUUAAUAAAAAUAAUAUUUUAUUGGGGUAAUAAAAAGAUUAAAAAAAUUCUUUUUUUAUUUUUACAUUAAUAAAUGAAUUUAUGAUCCAAUAAUAUUGAUUAAAAGAUUAAGUUACCUUAGGGAUAACAGCGUAAUUUUUUUAGAGAGUUCAUAUCGAUAAAAAAGUUUGCGACCUCGAUGUUGGAUUAAAAAUUAUCUUAGGUGCAGAAGUUUAAGAUUUUGGUCUGUUCGACCAUUGAAUUUUUACA